UACGUAGGGAGCAAGCGUUGUCCGGAAUUACUGGGCGUAAAGGGCGCGAAGGCGGGUUAUUAAGUCAGAUGUGAAAACUCCGGGCUUAACUUGGAGACUGCAUUUGAAACUGGUAAUCUUGAGGUCAGGAGAGGAAAGUGGAAUUCCUAGUGUAGCGGUGAAAUGCGUAGAUAUUAGGAGGAACACCAGUGGCGAAGGCGACUUUCUGGACUGUACCUGACGCUGAUGCGCGAAAGCGUGGGUAGCGAACGGGAUUAGAUACCCCUGUAGUCCCUGA
RNAcentral lists this ribosomal RNA (277 nucleotides) under uncultured prokaryote. RNAcentral describes it as "partial 16S ribosomal RNA". It matches the Rfam family "Bacterial small subunit ribosomal RNA", at positions 524 to 800 of the family's 1533-position model. The record is from RNAcentral.